This 94-nucleotide transfer RNA is filed under the name Acidobacteria bacterium RIFCSPLOWO2_02_FULL_67_36. Its description in RNAcentral is "tRNA-Ser". It matches the Rfam family "tRNA". From Rfam's summary of the family: Transfer RNA (tRNA) molecules are approximately 80 nucleotides in length. Their secondary structure includes four short double-helical elements and three loops (D, anti-codon, and T loops). Lineage: Bacteria; Pseudomonadati; Acidobacteriota. The record is from RNAcentral.
GGUGAGGUGGCCGAGAGGCUGAAGGCGGCGGUUUGCUAAAUCGUUGUAGGGCCUAAAAGCUCUACCCAGGGUUCGAAUCCCUGCCUCACCGCCA